AAAAAACAAAUGGGGAGCUUGCGGCUGCAGGCUGAGAGUAGGCAAUGUGAAGCCUUGACCCACAACCUGAUUUGGGUAAUGCCAACGUAGGGAUAUAUCUGCUUUCUUUU
This 110-nucleotide non-coding RNA is filed under the name Coprococcus sp. CAG:782. RNAcentral describes it as "TPP riboswitch aptamer (THI element)". It matches the Rfam family "TPP riboswitch aptamer (THI element)". Rfam says of the family: Vitamin B(1) in its active form thiamin pyrophosphate (TPP) is an essential coenzyme that is synthesised by coupling of pyrimidine and thiazole moieties in bacteria. The previously detected thiamin-regulatory element, thi box was extended, resulting in a new, highly conserved RNA secondary structure, the THI element, which is widely distributed in eubacteria and also occurs in some archaea. Analysis of operon structures identified a large number of new candidate thiamin-regulated genes, mostly transporters, in various prokaryotic organisms. The record is from Rfam by way of RNAcentral. Lineage: Bacteria; Bacillati; Bacillota; Clostridia; Lachnospirales; Lachnospiraceae. RNAcentral also lists the same sequence under 1 other name.